GAUGAACGCUGGCGGCGUGCCUAAUACAUGCAAGUCGAGCGAACAGAUGAGGAGCUUGCUCCUCUGACGUUAGCGGCGGACGGGUGAGUAACACGUGGAUAACCUACCUAUAAGACUGGGAUAACUUCGGGAAACCGGAGCUAAUACCGGAUAAUAUAUUGAACCGCAUGGUUCAAUAGUGAAAGACGGUUUUGCUGUCACUUAUAGAUGGAUCCGCGCCGCAUUAGCUAGUUGGUAAGGUAACGGCUUACCAAGGCAACGAUGCGUAGCCGACCUGAGAGCGGGUGCAGACAGCUUGGAACUGAGACACGGUCCAUACUCCUGCGGGAGGAAACAGUGGGGAAUCUUCCGCAAUGGGCGAAAGCGUAACGGAGCAACGCCGCGUGAGUGAUGAAGGUCUUCGGAUCGUAAAACUCUGUUAUUAGGGAAGAACAAAUGUGUAAGUAACUAAGCAGGGCUUGACGGUACCUAAUCAGAAAGCCACGGCUAACUACGUG
RNAcentral lists this ribosomal RNA (497 nucleotides) under uncultured bacterium. Its description in RNAcentral is "partial 16S ribosomal RNA". It matches the Rfam family "Bacterial small subunit ribosomal RNA", at positions 28 to 507 of the family's 1533-position model. The record is from RNAcentral.